This 545-nucleotide long non-coding RNA is filed under the name Cyanistes caeruleus (blue tit). Its description in RNAcentral is "lncRNA (ENSCCEG00000006341.1)". Lineage: Eukaryota; Metazoa; Chordata; Aves; Passeriformes; Paridae. The record is from RNAcentral.
GGGAUUUUAAGUCACUUCUGUUGCCUAAAUCCCUAUUUUCCUUUCUGAUCCCUUGUGAUGCUACUCCAAAAUCCAUCCCCUGAGGAAAGGCUGGAACCAAAAGACAGAGCUGCUUCAGGUUGGAACCCAAAAUGCUGGAGCUGUUCCAGCAUGAAAAGCACGGCGCUAAAUCCAUGGGAAGGGGUAGAAGUUGAGUGUGGCACCAUCUCUGCUGAACUAGAGAAACUUUCUGCAAUGAAUUGCUCAAUCACUUCAUUUGGAAGAAGAGCAACUGCUAUCAGCUCUAAUUGGCUCCCAGAACCCAGGAAUGCUUCCCUGCUAGAAAAUGAUACCACAGAGAAUCCAAAAGUGGCUCCUGGUUCUGGUCCAUGGCCUGACCUCCCUCUUCCCAGAACUGUGGCUUUGAGAUGCCCCAGGUGGAGUAGUGGCCCUGUGGGAGCAGGAGCUGCUGCCUCAGUCGGAGAUGUCUUCAUGACUUGCGGGGCAAGUUUGUCAGAGCUCUCCUUUCACAGUUAAAGGUUAAUAAAGGCUCAUGUGGCUGUGCA